Non-coding RNA from Phalacrocorax carbo (great cormorant), 582 nucleotides. Lineage: Eukaryota; Metazoa; Chordata; Aves; Suliformes; Phalacrocoracidae. The record is from RefSeq and is a predicted model, not a curated record.
CUGCACCCCUCCGGGCCGAGCGGCGAGCAGGCACCGGCGGGCACGGCCGCCGCGGAGGGGGAGCACGGCGGGACAGGCGGGCACAGCCCCCUCCCCGGCCCGCGCCUCCGGCGGGCGGAGGGGCGGGGGGCUUCGCCUUCCCACAAAAGAGCUGCAGCCGAAAGGCGCCUGUAAUUUGCUGUUGCUUCGAUACGAAGGUGUGAGCAGACAAUACCUGAGUUUUGUGAGCCUGCUGCCUUCUCGCAAAUCCAACCUCUCAACGCUAAUUUUGACGGUUUUGAUUUUCCAAGUGUUUUCUCGCUCCUACGUGCGGCUCACUAAAUUGCGAGCUUCCUAUAGCGUCGAUCUAGAGCUUGGAAAUUGAGCGUGUGUCGCAGGCGAUGUAAGGAUGACAACAAAGGAUGUGUAGCCCCCCCGCCCCCUUAAAUUAAUACACAUUCCAGAGGAGUUGAAAUAGUUGCCCCUGAAGUCGUUUCCGUUUGUGGUGGUGCAAUGGAUGGCACAGGCUUACACAUUCCUGGCAACCCGUUUCUCAUUAGUGUGUAACAGCUGCAUGUGAAUAAACAGAUUCCUUGUUCUGCA